RNAcentral lists this ribosomal RNA (411 nucleotides) under Triticum aestivum (bread wheat). RNAcentral's name for it is "partial small subunit ribosomal RNA". The record is from RNAcentral. Lineage: Eukaryota; Viridiplantae; Streptophyta; Magnoliopsida; Poales; Poaceae.
AUGCUCAUCAUCAUCAUUUCAGCAUCCUCAUCGUUCGAAUCCGACGAAUCGAUGAACUCUCUGUAUAUGAAUUCGCCAAGGUUUGUGUUUCCAUACACAUCAUUCGACGACGAAUUCAUUGAUGACCUACAAAUGACCAAAAGAACAAAAAAACGCUCGGACCUUUCAUCAAACACAGAGCACGAGGUGUAUGUACGAAGGAGUUGCAUGUACCGGGGAGGCGUCACGUGGCGGCGAACUUGUCCGUUGGCGGCACAGUUAGCGAUGUUGUGGGUUGGGAACAAUGGCAGUGGAGCUAUGGUGGCAGCUGUGCAGAUGAGGCAGAAAAGAGGAGAGGAAGAGGGCAAAUCGGGCCAGAACGGGGACGUCUUCAGGAGAUUUGGCGUGGACCCUACCGUCAGUCCGACGUGA